Molecule: small nuclear RNA, 124 nt
Organism: Protopterus annectens (West African lungfish)
Lineage: Eukaryota; Metazoa; Chordata; Ceratodontiformes; Protopteridae
Source: RefSeq, a predicted model, not a curated record
AUGGUGUAUAGAAGCACAGAAGGUUAGUACUCCCCUUGAUAAAGAUGGAAGAGGUCCUCGUGGCCUUUACAACACCUAUACGGUUAAGGCAUUGCCACUUCUUGGCAUCUAACCACCAUUUAAA